AGAGUUUGAUCCUGGCUCAGGACGAACGCUGGCGGCGUGCUUAACACAUGCAAGUCGAGCGGAAAGGCCACUUCGGUGGUACUCGAGCGGCGAACGGGUGAGUAACACGUGAGUAAUCUGCCCUUCACUUGGGGAUAACCUCCGGAAACGGUGGCUAAUACCCGAUACGACCGGUGCCUGCAUGGGUUGCUGGUGGAAAGUUUUUUCGGUGGAGGAUGUGCUCGCGGCCUAUCAGCUUGUUGGUGGGGUAAUGGCCUACCAAGGCUUCGACGGGUAGCCGGCCUGAGAGGGUGACCGGCCACACUGGGACUGAGACACGGCCCAGACUCCUACGGGAGGCAGCAGUGGGGAAUAUUGGACAAUGGGCGGAAGCCUGAUCCAGCAACGCCGCGUGAGGGAUGACGGCCUUCGGGUUGUAAACCUCUUUCAGCGGGGACGAAGCGCAAGUGACGGUACCCGCAGAAGAAGCACCGGCCAACUACGUGCCAGCCGCCGCGGUAAUAC
RNAcentral lists this ribosomal RNA (504 nucleotides) under uncultured bacterium. RNAcentral describes it as "bacterial SSU rRNA". It matches the Rfam family "Bacterial small subunit ribosomal RNA", at positions 8 to 526 of the family's 1533-position model. The record is from RNAcentral.